UACAGAGGGUGCAAACGUUGUUCGGAAUUACUGGGCGUAAAGCGAGUGUAGGCGGUGAAGUAAGUCAGAUGUGAGAUCCCACGGCUCAACCAUGGAAGUGCAUUUGAUACUGCUUCGCUUGAGUACUGGAGAGGUUGGUGGAAUUCUUGGUGUAGAGGUGAAAUUCGUAGAUAUCAAGAGGAACACCGGUGGCGAAGGCGGCCAACUGGACAGAUACUGACGCUGAGACUCGAAAGUGCGGGGAGCAAACAGG
This 253-nucleotide ribosomal RNA is filed under the name uncultured bacterium. RNAcentral describes it as "partial 16S ribosomal RNA". It matches the Rfam family "Bacterial small subunit ribosomal RNA", at positions 524 to 776 of the family's 1533-position model. The record is from RNAcentral.